RNAcentral lists this ribosomal RNA (497 nucleotides) under uncultured bacterium. RNAcentral describes it as "partial 16S ribosomal RNA". It matches the Rfam family "Bacterial small subunit ribosomal RNA", at positions 28 to 507 of the family's 1533-position model. The record is from RNAcentral.
GAUGAACGCUGGCGGUGUGCCUAAUACAUGCAAGUCGAGCGAACAGACGCGGAGCUUACUCCUCUCACGUUAGCCGCGCACGGGUGUGUCACACGUGGAUCACCCACCUAUCUUACUGGGAUAACUUCGGGACACCGGAGCUAAUCCCGGAUAACCUGCUGAUCCGCAUGGUUCAACAGUGAAAUACGGUCUUGCUGUCUCUUAUAGCUGGUUCUGAGUCGCAUUAGCUGGUUGUUGAGGUAACGGCUUACCAAGGCAACGAUGCGUAGCCGACCUGAGAGGGUGAUCGGCGACACGGGAACUGAGACACGGUCCAGACGCCUACGGGAGGCAGCAGUAGGGAAUCGGCGGCAAUGGGCGAAAGCAUGACGGAGCAACGCGGCGUGAGUGAAGAAGGUCUUCGGAGCGUAAAACUCUGUUAUUGGGGAAGAACAAAUGUGUAAGUAACUAUGCACGUCGUGACGGUACCGAAUCAGAAAGCCACGGCUAACUACGUG